This 468-nucleotide ribosomal RNA is filed under the name uncultured bacterium. RNAcentral's name for it is "partial 16S ribosomal RNA". It matches the Rfam family "Bacterial small subunit ribosomal RNA", at positions 28 to 507 of the family's 1533-position model. The record is from RNAcentral.
GACGAACGCUGGCGGCGUGCUUAACACAUGCAAGUCGAACGGAAAGGCCCUGCUUUUGUGGGGUGCUCGAGUGGCGAACGGAUGAGUAACGCGAGAGUAACCUGCCCUUGACUUUGGGAUAACUUCAGGAAACUGGUGCUAAUACCGGAUAGGAGCUCCUGCGGCAUGGUGGGGGUUGGAAAGUUUCGGCGGUUGGGGAUGGACUCGCGGCUUAUCAGCUUGUUGGUGGGGUAGUGGCUUACCAAGGCUUUGACGGGUAGCCGGCCUGAGAGGGUGACCGGCCACAUUGGGACUGAGAUACGGCCCAGACUCCUACGGGAGGCAGCAGUGGGGAAUAUUGCACAAUGGGCGGAAGCCUGAUGCAGCAACGCCGCGUGCGGGAUGACGGCCUUCGGGUUGUAAACCGCUUUCGCCUGUGACGAAGCGUGAGUGACGGUAAUGGGUAAAGAAGCACCGGCUAACUACGUG